AUAUUGAAAUCAACAAAGACCUUUGGAGAAAACAUUUAUGUAUGUUUACAGUUUUGUAUUUUACCUGUGUUGAGAGUUCCCGGAUUAGAGCAAGAUAGUCAAAAUGAACUUCCUCAUCCUUUACUUCCUACAAUAAAUAAAUAAAUAAGUUAAUGUGACACAUAGGGUAGGUUUAUAUUAGCUCACAGAAUUUGACAAGCAUCUUUAAAUCUAGUUGACUAAUUUUUUUACUUAGUAAUACAGGUUGUUGGUGAAGGCUAAGGUCUGUGGGAAUAGGAAUAACCUUUUGACAACCUUGAGAUUCUACAUACUACACAUGCACCUUGAGCUGAUGUAUCCGGCAGUGAGACAAAGGCCAGGACAAUUAGUACGUAUACCAUGGGUGGGUUUGUACCUGGUCUCUUAGAGCUGUCAGGGUAGUGACGUGGUCAUAGCUAGAAUGUGAGAAAUGGGGAUUCAAGCCCAGUUCUGGCCUCCAACAUGCACAUUCUUCAUAAGAACUUAAUGUUAACUUUUGCCUUCCCUUUGUUUACGUUGAUGAAGGUUUUUACAUGUCCUGAAAGAGAAAGGAGCUUUUCUGUGGUCUGUACAUCACUCAAGGCAAACAUGCUGCCACGUCGGAAUUCAUGAGAGAAAACUCAUAAGAGAACAGUCUGUGGCACUGGAGAUGAAGCAAAUGUCUCCCCUGGCUGUGGCAGUCUCCUAGUGUUGGGGUUGUUGACAUCCCUGCUCCAGUUCUAGAGCAGUAAUUGUGCAGGUAAAGUGGAAGAAGUACCAAAUGACACAGCAGUUUCUACGGACAAGUUCUGAGGGAGACAGUGUGCUCAUUGUGAUAGGAUGGAUGUCUUGCCAUUUUGCAGGUACCUUUCAGAAGGGACACAGGUCCCAGCACUGACACUGCUGAGACUGCACACUAGAAAUAUUGUCACAGUGCACGCACCUCAUUCUAGUCACACAGCUUUCACUAGACCCUCCACUAGUUGAAGUGUUUUCCUCACACACACCCCAUCCUCCUGGACUUCUGCAUUCUCUACAGUUUAAACAUGUUAAAUCGUUCACCCUAAGUAUGCACAGCAAAUAAAAACCUCUUUCCAGCCCAGGCUUUCCCUCCUAAUCCCCUUUUAGCUAAGUUCCUUGAAAGAGAAGGAAACUCACCUCCUCCACAUUCUCUCUGGCUAGACUCGCUGGUGUUAGGCUUCCCUUCAGUGUGUCAGGAUCUUGGCUCUCACCUGACUUAGUUACUCACUCUGUGGCUUUAAAUACUUCUCACAUAUUUCUGUGCCGAUGACUGUUCCCAGUCAAUAAAUGGAAAAUUAUUCUUCCAGUUACUCAGACCUAAUUAAAACACUCCUUUCCCCCCCCCUACCCCAUCAGUAAUCACUGUGGGUCUUACUGUCCAGUGCUAACUAGCUGAAACCUAGACCACUGCUUCCAUGGUAUAUCCUGCCCUUCAUCCAGGGCCUUUCAAGGAUGGCCGCCUUCUUGAACUGUUUUCAGCCCUGUGCCUACCUCCCAGUGCUGUUUUGUCUCUCCUGAAAUUCUCUGUCCAGCACCAGUGCCAUCUGUUUGUUCACUCAUUGAGGGCAGGAAAAAAAAUCCCUAGGCUGCUGGUAUGAAAUUAUUCAUCUGAAUUAUUAUCUGUAAACUUUGUUGGUUGUCUCUCGAAAAAGGUUCCAGUGUUCUUACCCAAUG
This is a long non-coding RNA of Erinaceus europaeus (western European hedgehog), 1692 nucleotides long. RefSeq lists it as uncharacterized. The transcript is spliced from 3 exons. The record is from RefSeq and is a predicted model, not a curated record. NCBI's taxonomy places the organism in Eukaryota, Metazoa, Chordata, Mammalia, Eulipotyphla, Erinaceidae.